This 660-nucleotide long non-coding RNA is filed under the name Homo sapiens (human). Its description in RNAcentral is "HSALNT0391025". Lineage: Eukaryota; Metazoa; Chordata; Mammalia; Primates; Hominidae. The record is from RNAcentral.
UGGCCACAACUCUCUCCCAGGGCCUGGCUUUAAAGUGUGCUCUGGAGCUCUGGGAAUGGCCAUCCUCCCCACCCCUUCCCACCGCCUGCCUCCUGAGGCCCUGCGCAGAGGAGCAGAGGAAGGCAGGAGUGCGAGGAGCAUUUUCGUGACCCCUGUGUCAGUGUUCCCGGUGCAGGAGUGUAGCACUUUUGCUUGUUGGGGCUGCAUCCAGAAACCUGGGGAAAAUCUGUCCACUGGACGUCUCAGAAGACCGGCAUCAUCACUCCCACCAACUGGACUGCUGGCCGGUAGCAAAAGACCAGCUGGAAAUUUCAUAAAAGGUUAGACAAUCCACAGUUACUCAGUGUUACGCAACAGGUCUCUGCAGCACAGAGCACGAACUGGGGAGUCAGGAUGCUGGAGUCCAGCCCUGCCUCUCUGCGGAUUCCCUGCCUGACCUUGGGAAAGCCUCUUGGGGUCUCGGGGCAUAGGGCAGGACUGAGACGUUGAGACCCCAAGUGCAAAGAAGACACAUUUCUCCUACCACGAGUAAUCAAAAACACUAUGAAACUGUAAUAUGGGCCGGGUGCGGUGGCUCACGCCUGUAAUCACACUUUCGGAGGCCGAGGAGAUUGAGCCCAGGAGUUGAAGACCAGCCUGGGCAACAUAGGCAGAUCCCAU